Panicum virgatum (switchgrass) is the source of this 1243-nucleotide long non-coding RNA. RefSeq lists it as uncharacterized. NCBI's taxonomy places the organism in Eukaryota, Viridiplantae, Streptophyta, Magnoliopsida, Poales, Poaceae. The transcript has 5 exons. The record is from RefSeq and is a predicted model, not a curated record.
CGAAAAACUUCCACAGCCGAGUCCGUUUCCGUUCACGGCGGCGGCGGUGGCGCCUCCUCACGCCGGGGCUGGCGGCGUGGGAGCGGAAUCCUCCUACGUUCCCGGAAGGCUGCGGACCAGCUCCGCUCCCACCGCCUCCCGGCAUGGUGGUACCGUGCGGCCCCACCGAUCCCGCCUCGGUCGCUGGCCGCUGCUCGCGCUGCUAGGGUUUGCUUUGGAGUGGCGCCGCUGCUCGACACCGUUACUGUUGUCGGAGAAUCCGAGGUUUGCAAUGAUCGAUGGUUGGUUGAAAUGACGCGCUGGGAACUUGGGAUUUUUCGUUCGACUCGGGGGUGGGGCAUCGGUUGUUCGCGCUAGAAAAUUUGAGAAGUGCAAGGAGGCAAAUUAUUCAGUCACGGCAGUGUUUCCCUCGAUUAAAUCGAAGUAGAAGUAACAAAUUUACCAAGCAAUGUCAGAUCUGUCGGUGAUAAUAGUACGCAGCAGGACUAAUUUGUGUACUAGAUCAGCGUAACUGGUGCUUCGUUCGUCCUGUGUGAUGCGGAUGUGUAAGACCAUCAGGUGUCCUUUCAGGAACACAUGUCUGGCAAAGUUAUCAGUGCGUAUGUGCAUGUUGAGCUUAUGAGGCCCCAAUGUUUGUACUCUGUAAUGAUGCUGUUGGGGUAUGUAGGUGUGUGUUCUUAAGUGCGAAGGAAUGAAGGGUUCAUCCUAAAGGAUGCCGAUUCCCAUGUGAUUGUUCAGCUUAUAUUGUACUAAUUUAUAUGUAAGCCUAAGUCCUGGUAUUCUUUCAGCCAGUUACUCUUAAUUGUAGUUUUAUCUGUUGUGCAUCAGGAGCUUCCUCAUGUAAUCAGGGAUUCAGGUUGACCUAGAGAAAGAAGAACUGGACUACUAGAGUGACAAGAAGAGAAUUGGAACUGUGUGGCUGUUCAACAAGCAGUACAGCUGACAGAAGGCACAAAUAUCCUGCAAUUUGGGGACCGGCUGAGGCUGUCCUCCAGGCUCCAGGGGCGCAAUUAACGGGUGGCAAAUCGAAACGUCCUGAUGGUACAUACGAGAUAGCAGAUGGUCAGCCGUCGUUAUCCCAGGAUACUUCCUGCCUGCUGCCAUGGCUCGGGCAGCGUGAUUUCCUGGCCAUUGGAGGGGGAUUCCCGGAAGGUAUUAUGACCAGCGGCGAGCCGGCGAAAUGCCGACGUGGAUGAAAGAGAAGAUAUGAGAGAGAAGGCAGUGGGCGUGUAGCGAGUCGGCG